GUCAGCAGCUAUAUCACCCUGCAGCUCUAAAUUGGCUACCCACUGAAGCUACUGUAAGUAGGGUUGAGCCUGGUCAGUACCUAGUUGGAAACCUCCUGGGAAACUAUGGUUCCUGCUGGAA
This 121-nucleotide ribosomal RNA is filed under the name Lepisosteus oculatus (spotted gar). The record is from RNAcentral. Lineage: Eukaryota; Metazoa; Chordata; Actinopteri; Semionotiformes; Lepisosteidae.